UCGUGCGGCGGGUGAUGUCUU
This 21-nucleotide unclassified non-coding RNA is filed under the name Mus musculus (house mouse). RNAcentral describes it as "oocyte_clustered_small_RNA12166". Lineage: Eukaryota; Metazoa; Chordata; Mammalia; Rodentia; Muridae. The record is from RNAcentral.